AACGAACGCUGGCGGCAGGCCUAACACAUGCAAGUCGAGCGCGAAAGUUCUUCGGAAUGAGUAAAGCGGCGGACGGGUGAGUAAUACAUGGGAAUCUGCCUGGUAGUGGGGGACAACGUUUCGAAAGGAACGCUAAUACCGCAUACGCCCGUACGGGGGGAAAGGGGGGAUCUUCGGACCUCUCGCUAUCAGAUGAGCCC
This 200-nucleotide ribosomal RNA is filed under the name uncultured bacterium. RNAcentral describes it as "partial 16S ribosomal RNA". It matches the Rfam family "Bacterial small subunit ribosomal RNA", at positions 29 to 232 of the family's 1533-position model. The record is from RNAcentral.